AAGGAGCUGGUCCACAUUCCCACCUGGUCAUCAAGAUGUCAGUCUCCCACCUCAAGAGUGGGUCUAGUUCGAAGCCUGCUCGGGAAUACAGCCCAAUUCAAACCUUCUAUCUUGCUGCUACUGGGAAAUAGCAUCAUCCCCGAGGCGUUGACCCACUACAAAGACAAUGACAGAAGAUGGCUGCUUCUCGUAUAAUACCUCACGAGAGAUGCCUGCAGCUUCCGUUUCCUGUGACUGACACCCCACUUGUCCUUGUGUGUUCAUGCAUCUCAUCAUUGCUAGACGAAUUUAAAGAAUACAGCACAUUCCUAGAGCUGAGUUAUUCAUUCUGGACUCUUGAAAAAAAAAUACACCAGAGGAAAAAAGGGGAGGAAUUUGCUGAGAGAGUUAUCCUCCCAGAAGAGCUGGAAAAACUCUGA
Molecule: long non-coding RNA, 419 nt
Filed under: Rattus norvegicus (Norway rat)
Lineage: Eukaryota; Metazoa; Chordata; Mammalia; Rodentia; Muridae
Description: long non-coding RNA NONRATT032908
Source: RNAcentral